AGAGUUUGAUCCUGGCUCAGAGCGAACGCUGGCGGCAGGCCUAACACAUGCAAGUCGAGCGCUCCGCAAGGGGAGCGGCAGACGGGAGAGUAACACGUGGGAACGUACCCUUCAGUUCGGAACAACCCAGGGAAACUUGGGCUAAUACCGAAUACGUCCGUAAGGAGAAAGAUUUAUCGCUGAAGGAUCGGCCCGCGUCUGAUUAGCUUGUUGGUGAGGUAACGGCUCACCAAGGCGACGAUCUGUAGCUGGUCUGAGAGGACGACCAGCCACACUGGGACUGAGACACGGCCCAGACUCCUACGGGAGGCAGCAGUGGGGAAUUUUGGACAAUGGGGGAAACCCUGAUCCAGCAAUGCCGCGUGUGUGAAGAAGGCCUUCGGGUUGUAAAGCACUUUUGUCCGGAAAGAAAACUUCUGCCCUAAUACGGCGGGAGGA
RNAcentral lists this ribosomal RNA (438 nucleotides) under uncultured bacterium. Its description in RNAcentral is "bacterial SSU rRNA". It matches the Rfam family "Bacterial small subunit ribosomal RNA", at positions 8 to 472 of the family's 1533-position model. The record is from RNAcentral.